UGGCCAGGUUGCACUAACACAUGCAAGUCGAACGAACUUCGGGUUUAGUGGCGGACGGGUGAGUACGCUGAUCUGCCCUCAGGAGGGGGACAACAGCUGGAAACGGCUGCUAAUACCCCAUAUGCCGCGAGGUGAAAUGAAUUUCGCCUGAGGAUGAGCUCGCGUCUGAUUAGCUAGUUGGUGUAGGUAAUGGCUCACCAAGCAUCGAUCAGUAGCUGGGUCUGAGAGGAUGAUCAGCACAACUGGGACUGAGACACGGCCAGACUCCUACGGGAGGCAGCAGUGGGGAAUUUUCCGCAAUGGGCGAAAGCCUGACGGAGCAACGUUGCGUGAGGGAUGAAGGCCUCUGGGCUGUAAACCUCUUUUAUCAAGGAAGAAGAUCUGACGGUACUUGAUGAAUAAGCCACGGCUAAUUCCGUUGCCAGACAGCCGCGGUAAUACGGGAGUGGCAAGCGUUAUCCGGAAUUAUUGGGCGUAAAGCGUCCGCAGGCGGCCUUCAAGUCUGCUGUUAAAAAGUGGAGCUUAACUCCAUCAUGGCCAGUGGAAACUGUUGGGGCUUGAGUGUGGUAGGGGCAGAGGGAAUUCCCGGGUGUAGCCGGUGAAAUGCGUAAGAUAUCGGGAAAGAACACCAGUGGGCGAAGGCGCUCUGCUUGGGGCCAUCAACUUGACGGCUCAUGGAC
RNAcentral lists this ribosomal RNA (680 nucleotides) under uncultured Synechococcus sp. Its description in RNAcentral is "bacterial SSU rRNA". It matches the Rfam family "Bacterial small subunit ribosomal RNA", at positions 37 to 754 of the family's 1533-position model. Lineage: Bacteria; Bacillati; Cyanobacteriota; Cyanophyceae; Synechococcales; Synechococcaceae. The record is from RNAcentral.